UACGAAGGGUGCAAACGUUGCUCGGAAUCAUUGGGCGUAAAGCGCACGUAGGCGGCUUGCCAAGUCGGACGUGAAAUCCCUCAGCUCAACUGAGGACGUGCAUCCGAAACUGGCGAGCUUGAGUACUGAAGAGGAUCGCGGAAUUCCCGGUGUAGAGGUGAAAUUCGUAGAUAUUGGGAAGAACACCGGUGGCGAAGGCGGCGACCUGGUCCGAUACUGACGCUGAGGCGCGAAAGCGUGGGGAGCAAACAGG
RNAcentral lists this ribosomal RNA (253 nucleotides) under uncultured bacterium. RNAcentral describes it as "partial 16S ribosomal RNA". It matches the Rfam family "Bacterial small subunit ribosomal RNA", at positions 524 to 776 of the family's 1533-position model. The record is from RNAcentral.